Molecule: long non-coding RNA, 702 nt
Filed under: Fukomys damarensis (Damara mole-rat)
Lineage: Eukaryota; Metazoa; Chordata; Mammalia; Rodentia; Bathyergidae
Description: lncRNA (ENSFDAG00000024062.1)
Source: RNAcentral
UCCUCUGUGAUGCUCCAGUUUCCCGGGAUGUUGUCUUGGGCGGCAAGGCUGUGACUGUCGCAUGUUCCCUAUGGCAGGCAGGCAGGCAGGGGCCACGUACCCGUCUGGCCUGGCAUCCCUGAGUAGCUUGGCUGCAGGCCUUCGGCUUCCUGAAACACUGAGCCUGUGAGCCUCACUGUCCCCGGCUGUUGGUGGGCAUGGACACUGCACAAAAAGGAACCAGAGUUGUUGGCAUGGAGGUGGGGAUGCCACACAGGAACAUCAGGACUGUGCUCAGAGAAGCAGCGAUCAAAACAUGGAGACGAGCACAACCUCAGCCAGGAUCUCACUGAGGCCCGCUGAGGAAAGCCCUCACGGGCGCGUGCUCAUGGAGAUGUGCAGAAACAUGUCAUGGGAUCACGCAGAGGGGAAACCAGAAGCACCCUGCUCCUCAGAGGGAAGGCGGAGGCAUGGUGCUCACAGGCGAACGAGCCAAAGCUGAAGGCGUCACCUGGAGCUUGUGUGCCCAGUUCUGGGGUACAUGUAUAUGUGUAUGCAUGCUCAGCACUGGAGGUGACCAACCAGAGCCCUCUACAGACUACAGAAAACACUCGCUCCUGUCCUACUCCUGAAGCCAAUUGCAGCUGCUUUCUACCCAGUGUAGUGAGUUGACCUCAACAUUGUUUACUUGUUUCCCCAGUCUUAAGCUCUGUUUAAUCCCAC